AUUGAACGCUGGCGGCAUGCUUUACACAUGCAAGUCGAACGGCAGCGCGGGCUUCGGCCUGGCGGCGAGUGGCGAACGGGUGAGUAAUACAUCGGAACGUGCCCAGUAGUGGGGGAUAGCUCGGCGAAAGCCGGAUUAAUACCGCAUACGACCUGAGGGUGAAAGCGGGGGAUCUUCGGACCUCGCGCUAUUGGCGCGGCCGAUGGCAGAUUAGCUAGUUGGUGGGGUAAAGGCCUACCAAGGCGACGAUCUGUAGCUGGUCUGAGAGGACGACCAGCCACACUGGGACUGAGACACGGCCCAGACUCCUACGGGAGGCAGCAGUGGGGAAUUUUGGACAAAGGGCGAAAGCCUGAUCCAGCAAUGCCGCGUGUGUGAUGAAGGCCUUCGGGUUGUAAAGCACUUUUGGCGGGAACGAAAAGGACUGUGCCAAUACCACGGUUCGAUGACGGUACCCGCAGAAUAAGCACCGGCUAACUACGUG
RNAcentral lists this ribosomal RNA (484 nucleotides) under uncultured bacterium. Its description in RNAcentral is "partial 16S ribosomal RNA". It matches the Rfam family "Bacterial small subunit ribosomal RNA", at positions 29 to 507 of the family's 1533-position model. The record is from RNAcentral.